This is a non-coding RNA of Camelina sativa (false flax), 301 nucleotides long. The record is from RefSeq and is a predicted model, not a curated record. NCBI's taxonomy places the organism in Eukaryota, Viridiplantae, Streptophyta, Magnoliopsida, Brassicales, Brassicaceae.
UAAGAAUACGUAGGACUCGUGAGGCAAAUCAGGAAGCUGUUCUUCUGUCAUUGUGCACAAGAACUUUUAAAUCAAAAGUCAUUAUCUUUAGUGGAACAAAACAAGCUGCCCAUAGACUGAAAAUUUUGUUCGGGUUAGCUGGCCUCAAAGCAGCUGAGCUUCAUGGAAACCUAACCCAAGCACAACGUCUUGAUUCUCUGGAACUUUUCAGAAAGCAAGAGGUUGAUUUUCUCAUUGCUACUGAUGUAGCCGCUCGAGGACUUGACAUCAUUGGUGUUCAAACAGUUAUAAAUUAUGCUUG